This 306-nucleotide long non-coding RNA is filed under the name Panax ginseng (ginseng). RNAcentral's name for it is "long non-coding RNA (PGIN_LNC011749)". Lineage: Eukaryota; Viridiplantae; Streptophyta; Magnoliopsida; Apiales; Araliaceae. The record is from RNAcentral.
AUAAUGAGUUUAGGUAACAAAUCCACGCUCAAACUAUGUCAAAACGUGUCUGCCUCAAAAAACGCGUCAACCAAAUAUGGACUAAUCCGUUGUGGUGGAUUCAUUUGGCCUGGGAAUUCACGGGGGCGAAUCUAGGCAGAGACCAAUGUGCUGGGGCAAGUUCAAAAGUAGUCGGGGCGAAUCUAAUAGAGAGGAAUCUGUCGGGGCGGAUUCAUUGAGCCUUCUGAAUUCGCCGAGGCGAAUUCACUGAACUUCCAAAUCUGCGAAUUUUAUUUUUCUGAUUUUCUUGACUUGUUAUAUGGCUUG